RNAcentral lists this ribosomal RNA (253 nucleotides) under uncultured bacterium. Its description in RNAcentral is "partial 16S ribosomal RNA". It matches the Rfam family "Bacterial small subunit ribosomal RNA", at positions 524 to 776 of the family's 1533-position model. The record is from RNAcentral.
UACGUAGGGACCAAGCGUUGUUCGGAUUUACUGGGCGUAAAGGGCGCGUAGGCGGCGCCGUAAGUCAGGGGUGAAAUCCCGGAGCUCAACUCCGGAACUGCCCUUGAAACUGCAGUGCUAGAAUUCUGGAGAGGCGAGUGGAAUUCCGAGUGUAGAGGUGAAAUUCGUAGAUAUUCGGAAGAACACCAGUGGCGAAGGCGACUCGCUGGACAGACAUUGACGCUGAGGUGCGAAAGCGUGGGGAGCAAACAGG